GACGAACGCUGGCGGUGUGCUUCACACAUGCAAGUCGAACGAGGUAGCAAUACCUAGUGGCGGACGGGUGAGUAACGCGUGGGAAUCUGCCUUUAGAUGGGGGAUAACGGGUCGAAAGACUCGCUAAUACCGCAUAUGACGAAAGUUGAAAGGAGUAAUCCGUCUAAAGAUGAGCCCGCGUCCGAUUAGCUAGUUGGUAGAGUAAAAGCCUACCAAGGCGACGAUCGGUAGCUGGUCUGAGAGGAGUGAUCAGCCACAAUGGGACUAGAGACACGGCCCAUACUCCUACGGGAGGCAGCAGUGGGAAUUUUACGCAAUGGGCGAAAGCCUGACGUAGCGACACCGCGUGAGCGAAGAAGCCCCUUGGGGUGUAAAAGGCUCUGUCAGCUGGACGAAAAAAUAGACGGUACCAGCAGAGGAAGCAUCGGCUAACUACGUGCCAGCAGCCGCGGUAAU
This 456-nucleotide ribosomal RNA is filed under the name uncultured bacterium. Its description in RNAcentral is "bacterial SSU rRNA". It matches the Rfam family "Bacterial small subunit ribosomal RNA", at positions 28 to 524 of the family's 1533-position model. The record is from RNAcentral.